ACACGACUACAUUAGAUACCCGCGUAGUCCUAGCCGUAAACGAUACUCGCUGGGUGUCGGCCACGGUGCGACCGUUGUCGGUGCCGUAGGGAAGCCGUGAAGCGAGCCACCGUGGGAAGUACGGCCGCAAGGCUGAAAACUUAAAGGAAUUGGCGGGGGAGCACAACAACGGGUGGAGCUUGCGGUUUAAUUGGAUUCAACGCCGGAAAUCUUACCGGGACCGACAGCAACAUGAAGGCCAAGCUGAAGACUUUGCCGGAUUAGCUG
RNAcentral lists this ribosomal RNA (267 nucleotides) under uncultured archaeon. RNAcentral's name for it is "partial 16S ribosomal RNA". It matches the Rfam family "Archaeal small subunit ribosomal RNA", at positions 717 to 982 of the family's 1478-position model. The record is from RNAcentral.